UACGUAGGGACCAAGCGUUGUUCGGAUUUACUGGGCGUAAAGGGCGCGUAGGCGGCGUGACAAGUCACUUGUGAAAUCUCUGAGCUUAACUCAGAACGGCCAAGUGAUACUGCAGUGCUAGAGUGCAGAAAGGGCAAUCGGAAUUCUUGGUGUAGCGGUGAAAUGCGUAGAUAUCAAGAGGAACACCUGAGGCGAAGGCGGGUUGCUAGGCUGACACUGACGCUGAGGCGCGAAAGCCAGGGGAGCAAACGGG
This 253-nucleotide ribosomal RNA is filed under the name uncultured bacterium. RNAcentral describes it as "partial 16S ribosomal RNA". It matches the Rfam family "Bacterial small subunit ribosomal RNA", at positions 524 to 776 of the family's 1533-position model. The record is from RNAcentral.